Molecule: non-coding RNA, 4464 nt
Organism: Nothobranchius furzeri (turquoise killifish)
Lineage: Eukaryota; Metazoa; Chordata; Actinopteri; Cyprinodontiformes; Nothobranchiidae
Source: RefSeq, a predicted model, not a curated record
AACAACGCAUGCAGUGACAUUCACAUGCUAAAGCUGUAGCUUGUUUACACAAGUUUCCCCCCCUUUCUUCUUGGAGAAACCAACAUUAAGCCAGACAAUGGUCGCAAUGUGGUCCUCAUCUGAGAGUGGGCCGGGCUGACAAAGCGAGGAGUCAGCUGGCCGCUGGUUUUCUCUGGAGUGGAUGUUCUCAUCAGUGGGAGGAAGCAUUGUUUUAACCUAAAGGGCUGUGAUAAAUACACAACUUUUCAAAGCAACAAUACUGGUUCAUUUUCUUAUAAAAGAAAUUUAGUUUUUUUUAACCAAACAAACUCGUUUUAGCUACAUUUCUUAAAAUGCUAAGGUUAUAAAAUAAUUUGAAAAUUGUGUCAUCAAUAAAUAACCAAUACUUGCACAACCUAACAGCCUACAGCUAUGUUGUAAAAGUCUAAGAAUCACACAAUCAUUGGUAUAGAGCUCCGGACCCCACGUGACUCUCAGUUAGUGGACGCCAUUUUGGCAUGCAAAAAAGGUAAACAAACACGGAUGUAACCAUGAACAUGAACGGGAUCCGCUUGGAUUUUACUUCGUCUGAGUUUACUUCACACUUUAAAACAGAAGAAAUCGUUUUAUAUAGUCAGAAAUUAAAUAGACUAAACAUCUCCGACCCUUACCGUGCCCCUGGGAUACUUUUUAAAAACGCCAGAAGCGCACAACACCGGACCUGACCGGGGAAACCCCUUGGGAUUCCCCCGGCCGGAGGAGCUGGAGAGAAGGUCUGGGACUCUCGACUCUACUGCCCGCUCCGACGCCAGAAGCUGUCGGAGCGGGCUUCUUACCGGCACAACACCAGACCUGACCGGGGAACCCCUUGGGAUUCCCCCGGCCGGAGGAGCUGGCUCCGGCGGCUGGGGAGAGGGAAGUCACGCUACUGCCCCCGCAACCCGACUCCGGAUACGCGGAUGAAAAUAGAUGGAUGGAUGGACAAAUAACAGAUUUACACAAGCUGUCGGAGCGGACUUCUUACCGGACCUGGCCGGGGAACCCCUUGGGAUUCCCCCGGAGGAGCUGGCCCAAGUGGCUGGGGAGAGGGAAGUCUGGGCCUCUCGACGCUACUGCCCUUGUAACCCAACUCCGGAUAAGUGGGUGAAAAUGGAUGGAUGGAUGGACAAAUAACAGAUUUACUUGUAAGUAGUUUAAAUAGAGUGCUGUGCUGUUUGAAUGUAUAAACUGAACGCCAAGAGAAAUCACUAGUUUGAUUUUUUUUCCGUGCUGUGACAACAGAACGAGUUGAGCUGUGGUCGUCCGACUUGAACUGGAUAGGCGGCUACGACCAGGGAGCCACUGGGCGGUGUGAGCGGAAAACACCUACACCACAGCCUGCUGUGAAAGUAUUCCUGAAAUAGGGACAGACAGUGACUGAAGGCGAGGGGGCACAGAGGUGCUGGUGUGUGUGUGAACAGUAAUACGCACCGCCUGCAGGGACAACCAAACUCUGCAUCUCCUAAGUGGCGAUGGAGGAGUCACACCAGUGGAACCGAUGUCCCCGAUCAGCGAUGGGCUGGAAAAGACAGAAAAGGAAUAGGUGGAGGGGUCAGGGAGGAAAAAACGAGAAUGCUGAGACAGCGUUUGCCCUAACCCUCAGAGAGGAAGAGCGAGCAGCUGGGUGGAGGUGAAUGGAGAGGAGUAAAGAUGGGGAGGAAGGUGCAGGAGGGGUCUCAUUUAUGAUUAAGAUGGGAUCAGGUCCAUCACUUCCAUUUAAAAUGAGGCUCUAAUGGUUCAGUGGUAAGUAGGGGAGGGCCAUGAUAGCUCUCACCUGAAGAUGAAGAUCCUCUGAGCUUCCUUCGAGGAAUCCAUCACAUUUGGGAAUUUUUAGGGGGACACGCAAAUAUAUCUGUAAUGGCUAAAUAUUUUAAAACUUUAUAUCCUCAUAAUAAAAAAGAGCGUAACUAAUGAAUGUUUGGCUGUACACAGGUGCCACUGCAUGCCUGCUAUAAUUUAUAUAUAUUUUUUAUUUUAUUGUUUUUUUUGAGAGCAUGUUCUCAUUUGCAGACAUGACCUGGCCAAGACGUCUUGGAAGGACUAAUGGGCGGGUGAUUUAUCCAACAAUACCGGGCCUGAAUGUCAAACAUGUCCCACUCCAGACAGAACAUUGAAGACUCGGGUUUUUCUUUGCUCAUUUUCAGAUCAGAGCACGAAAUACAUUUAAGUUGCAUCAAACCACCUACAACCCAGACAUUUUCCUGCUAAAUACAAGAGAAACCAACACAAGACCACCAAAAGUCUAUGUAAAUGAAAUGAAUAGAUUGCUUUAGUGUGUUUUGAAUAUAACAGUCAAAAACAAAUUCAGGGAAAAAGGGGUUAAAAUUGGAGCUGUUGGUCAAAAAUGGCCACAACAUACAUUUGAACAAGCACUGAUAGUUUCUAGCAACAGAAAAUCUGCACUUUUGUUUUAAUUUGAAAGUUACUGGAUGUUUUACACCGCUCCCAUGUUUGAGUUCUUGUUUGGCCCGAUCUGAACUGCUGAGCGUUGACGUAAAACAAUAGAACUGAUGAGAUCUACCAGAGGUGGGCGAUAUAUCAAAAUGUAUCGAUACCGAAAUGUAUGGCUAUUACCUGCGUCAACAUGUUAGGUAUUCAAAAAAAAAAAAAAAAAAAAAGAUGUUCACAUGACUGUACACGUUGUCAGAGGAAACGAGAGAGCGCUCUCGUGACACCAGUCACCAUUUUUUUGGUCCAAACAUCUUUGGUUGUCAGUGGUGUUUUUCUUUCUGGGACUCUGGUAGUUGGUCCUAAAGUUGAAGUGGUAGCAGCCGGCUGUUUCUCCUUCUCUGUAGGGAUGCACCAAUGCGAUACUGAUAUCGGUAUUGGCACUGAUACUGAUACCAAUACCAGUAUCGGUAUCGGUAAAAGUUAACCGAUACCAAUGCAGUUGCUUGAAAAUGGCUUCACUGUAACUUGUCAUGUCUGUUCACCUAAUAUUUUAGUGUUGUUAGGAUUUCCAUUCAUAUAUUUUACUUUUUAUCUACCUCACAGUCUUUUCCUGUUGAAAGCAGAGAAGAAAGUAAAAUCUGUAUUCCAAAUCAUUGCAUUUUUUUGUGUGGUAGAAGUAUCGGUAUUGGUAAUCGGUAUCGGCGAGUACUCAGAUCCAAGUAUCGGUAUCGUAACGGUUUGGAAGAAAGUGGUAUCCUUGCAUCCCUACUUCUCUGAUGAUAUUGAGCGGAGAACCUCUCACACCAGUGGUGUCCUGUUGCUAAAUACGGGAGUGUGUGAUGAGUUGAGGACCCGGGAAGUUGCAGAAGUGCUCAGUUCGGCAAGACCAACAACCAGAUGGCUAGUUUCGGUCUGAGCCGUGUUUUUGGCAGAGGUUUAUAGACAAAUGAUCUCUACAGUAUAGUUAUAGCUAUGCUAUGUUCCAAUUUGCUAUUGCAGCUUUAACCAAAUGAAUGGCAGGUGUGACAGAUGGAGUUGACUGAAGUGCCGGUAAAUGGUAAAAUGUGGAACGAAGAAAGAAGGGAGAGGAGCUCAAAAUUCCUCCAUAGCAUAAUGAGUUAGAAGCCGAAGUUCGGAUAAGAUGCAUUUGAACAGUCUGCAUCAGCGCAAUGGAAGAACACCUUUAGAGAAGCAAGUGCCCAUUUGUUCUUCUGUGUAUUUUCAGGUGGCAACGCUGGGUCGUGUGUGUGUGUUUAGCGGAGGGCGUAGUUGUUGACAGUAAGGUAAACCCUUUUAGCACGUUCAUAAAGGCAGCAUUUAGCAACGUCACAACAAGUUCUCAAGAGAAACCAAGCCGCCAUCAAACAAGGGCAACGAUGCGCUACAAAGUCACAGCCCCUGAGGAUGGUGGCCGACAUCCAGCCCACCGGCCCCGGUGCAUAACUCACUGCCUGCGUUGAACACAGUUCUUGGUACAUAGCAACAUGAGAGAGGCUUUUCAGUGUGAUUUCCAGUGUGAAGUUAUGGUGUUGAUUAGCGCAGUGACAGCUGCCAUGAUUAAAAUGGCUGAUAGUAAUAGUGCAGCAUUCAUGCAUUGACAACUUUGCUCUGCAUGGCUUUGUGAGUGGUGAUGUAUGACACCAUUAGGGUAACCUCAGGGCCCUGGAGGACACUUAUCUCCCUCGUCACGUCCUUCACACUUCCCAUUCUCGCUCUAACAAAAGGACGCCUGCUCUCUGGUCUGCAUGCUUAUGAAUCGUGAGUACAUGGGGAUCCAGUGUGUGCAAUAUGUCUGCUUAUCCGCUCAUUCUCUGGCUAUUUUUUUUCUUUCUGUGAGCGAUAAUCUGUAAAAAUAUAACCCAUGAUGUGCUUUUAUGCAAAGAGCAUUUUGAAUGAAUUACAGAGUUAUGAUUUUAAAAGUUUUAAAAUCACUGACACACUUUUUUCUGUGAAAUAGUUUCAAAAACUAGGUGAUUAAUUCUGAACUGGCGCUUCCAUUAUGCGUGCUUUCUCCUAUUUACACUAAAAGUAAUAUUUAAGCUGACGUUGCUACAU